Molecule: ribosomal RNA, 394 nt
Filed under: uncultured bacterium
Lineage: Bacteria
Description: partial 16S ribosomal RNA
Rfam family: Bacterial small subunit ribosomal RNA
Source: RNAcentral
CCUACGGGAGGCUGCAGUGAGGAAUAUUGGUCAAUGGGCGCGAGCCUGAACCAGCCAAGCCGCGUGAGGGAUGAAGGAUCUCUGGUUCGUAAACCUCUUUUACAGGGGAAUAAAGUGCCGGACGCGUCCGGCUCUGCAGGUACCUAAUGAAUAAGGAUCGGCUAACUCCGUGCCAGCAGCCGCGGGAAUACGGAGGAUCCGAGCGUUAUCCGGAUUUAUUGGGUUUAAAGGGUGCGUAGGCGGCCGUUUAAGUCAGAGGUGAAGGCCUGGGGCUCAACCCUCGCAUUGCCGUUGAAACUGGGGGGCGUGAGUGCGGUGGAGGCAGGCGGAAUGCGUGGUGUAGCGGUGAAAUGCAUAGAUAUCGCGCAGAACCCCGAUUGCGAAGGCAGCCUGC